GCCCAGACUCCUACGGGAGGCAGCAGUGGGGAAUAUUGCACAAUGGGGGAAACCCUGAUGCAGCGACGCCGCGUGAGCGAUGAAGUAUUUCGGUAUGUAAAGCUCUAUCAGCAGGGAAGAAAAUGACGGUACCUGACUAAGAAGCCCCGGCUAACUACGUGCCAGCAGCCGCGGUAAUACGUAGGGGGCAAGCGUUAUCCGGAUUUACUGGGUGUAAAGGGAGCGUAGACGGCAAUGCAAGCCAGAUGUGAAAGCCCGGGGCUCAACCCCGGGACUGCAUUUGGAACUGUGUAGCUGGAGUGUCGGAGAGGCAGGCGGAAUUCCUAGUGUAGCGGUGAAAUGCGUAGAUAUUAGGAGGAACACCAGUGGCGAAGGCGGCCUGCUGGACGAUGACUGACGUUGAGGCUCGAAAGCGUGGGGAGCAAACAGGAUUAGAUACCCGAGUACAA
This 449-nucleotide ribosomal RNA is filed under the name uncultured bacterium. Its description in RNAcentral is "bacterial SSU rRNA". It matches the Rfam family "Bacterial small subunit ribosomal RNA", at positions 329 to 798 of the family's 1533-position model. The record is from RNAcentral.